UACGAAGGGGGCUAGCGUUGUUCGGAAUUACUGGGCGUAAAGCGCGCGCAGGCGGUCUUCCAAGUCAGUGGUGAAAGCCCGGAGCUCAACUCCGGAACUGCCAUUGAAACUGUGAGACUUGAGUACGAGAGAGGUGAGUGGAAUUCCCAGUGUAGAGGUGAAAUUCGUAGAUAUUGGGAAGAACACCGGUGGCGAAGGCGGCUCACUGGCUCGGUAACUGACGCUCAGGCGCGACAGCGUGGGGAUCGAAACAGG
Molecule: ribosomal RNA, 255 nt
Filed under: uncultured bacterium
Lineage: Bacteria
Description: partial 16S ribosomal RNA
Rfam family: Bacterial small subunit ribosomal RNA
Source: RNAcentral